Molecule: long non-coding RNA, 234 nt
Filed under: Trifolium pratense (red clover)
Lineage: Eukaryota; Viridiplantae; Streptophyta; Magnoliopsida; Fabales; Fabaceae
Description: long non-coding RNA (TPRA_LNC003985)
Source: RNAcentral
AACUCAAUUCCGGCUUCAGUGAUUUGCACAAGGGUUUAGUCUUCCUUUAUAUAACCUGAGCUAGCACGACCAGGUCUUGAAUUUGGGCUUUAGAUCACAGCUAGUUCAAAAGUUCCAGCAAGGAAUGUUCUUGAAUCAAAUAGUUGAUUUGUUUAGAAACAAAACUAGGUCAUGGCCGCCUUCUAGAACAUCAGGAAAGGCGCUACUUGACGCACAAGUAAAAAGGCGUGGAUU